UACGAAGGGGGCUAGCGUUGUUCGGAAUUACUGGGCGUAAAGGGCGCGUAGGCGGUCCGCUCAGUCAGAAGUGAAAGCCCCGGGCUCAACCUGGGAAUUGCUUUUGAUACUGGUGGACUUGAGUUCCGGAGAGGAUGGUGGAAUUCCCAGUGUAGAGGUGAAAUUCGUAGAUAUUGGGAAGAACACCGGUGGCGAAGGCGGCCAUCUGGACGGACACUGACGCUGAGGCGCGAAAGCGUGGGGAGCAAACAGG
This 253-nucleotide ribosomal RNA is filed under the name Azospirillum sp. Its description in RNAcentral is "partial 16S ribosomal RNA". It matches the Rfam family "Bacterial small subunit ribosomal RNA", at positions 524 to 776 of the family's 1533-position model. The record is from RNAcentral. RNAcentral also lists the same sequence under 1 other name. Lineage: Bacteria; Pseudomonadati; Pseudomonadota; Alphaproteobacteria; Rhodospirillales; Azospirillaceae.